UACGUAGGGUGCAAGCGUUAAUCGGCAUUACUGGGCGUAAAGGGCUCGUAGGUGGCCAACUAAGUCAGACGUGAAAUCCCUCAGCUUAACUGGGGAACUGCGUCUGAUACUGGAUGGCUUGAGUUUGGGAGAGGGAUGCGGAAUUCCAGGUGUAGCGGUGAAAUGCGUAGAUAUCUGGAGGAAUACCGGUGGCGAAGGCGGCAUCCUGGACCAUUACUGACGCUGAGGCGCGAAAGCUAGGGGAGCAAACGGG
Molecule: ribosomal RNA, 253 nt
Filed under: uncultured bacterium
Lineage: Bacteria
Description: partial 16S ribosomal RNA
Rfam family: Bacterial small subunit ribosomal RNA
Source: RNAcentral